UGCGUAGGUGGCGUCGUAAGUCGGGUGUGAAAACUUCAGGCUCAACCUGGAGCGGCCAUCCGAUACUGCUAUGGCUAGAGUCCGGUAGGGGACCACGGAAUUCCUGGUGUAGCGGUGAAAUGCGCAGAUAUCAGGAGGAACACCGAUGGCGAAGGCAGUGGUCUGGGCCGGAACUGACGCUGAAUAGCGAAAGCGUGGGUAGCGAACA
This 208-nucleotide ribosomal RNA is filed under the name uncultured bacterium. RNAcentral's name for it is "partial 16S ribosomal RNA". It matches the Rfam family "Bacterial small subunit ribosomal RNA", at positions 567 to 774 of the family's 1533-position model. The record is from RNAcentral.